RNAcentral lists this ribosomal RNA (196 nucleotides) under uncultured Funneliformis. Its description in RNAcentral is "partial 18S ribosomal RNA". It matches the Rfam family "Eukaryotic small subunit ribosomal RNA", at positions 569 to 766 of the family's 1831-position model. The record is from RNAcentral. Lineage: Eukaryota; Fungi; Glomeromycota; Glomeromycetes; Glomerales; Glomeraceae.
AGCAGCCGCGGUAAUUCCAGCUCCAAUAGCGUAUAUUAAAGUUGUUGCAGUUAAAAAGCUCGUAGUUGAAUUUCGGGAUCAAUAUAUCGGUCGUGCCAUCGGUACGUACUGGUAUGAUUGGUUUCUCACCUUCUAAAGAACCGUAAUGCCAUUAAUUUGGUGUCACGGGGAAUUAGGACUGUUACCUUGAAAAAAU